UCGCACGUCAUGUGGGAUUAAAAUGACUCUCGGCAAUGGAUAUCUCGGCUCUCGCAUCGAUGAAGAGCGCAGCGAAAUGCGAUACGUGGUGCGAAUUGCAGAAUCCCGCGAACCAUCGAGUCUUUGAACGCAAGUUGCGCCCGAGGCCAACCGGCCAAGGGCAC
This 164-nucleotide ribosomal RNA is filed under the name Coelogyne gibbifera. Its description in RNAcentral is "5.8S ribosomal RNA". The stretch from base 25 to 164 matches the Rfam family "5.8S ribosomal RNA", at positions 1 to 138 of the family's 154-position model. Rfam says of the family: 5.8S ribosomal RNA (5.8S rRNA) is a component of the large subunit of the eukaryotic ribosome. It is transcribed by RNA polymerase I as part of the 45S precursor that also contains 18S and 28S rRNA. Lineage: Eukaryota; Viridiplantae; Streptophyta; Magnoliopsida; Asparagales; Orchidaceae. The record is from RNAcentral.